UAUUGCUGCCAGUUAGCUCUCUGCAUCUCUCACAUGGUUGUCACUGAAGCUAAGCAGGGAUGCGCCCGGUCAGUAUCUGGAUGGGAGACCACAUGGGAAAGCUAGGUUGCAGCUGUGU
RNAcentral lists this ribosomal RNA (118 nucleotides) under Danio rerio (zebrafish). The record is from RNAcentral. Lineage: Eukaryota; Metazoa; Chordata; Actinopteri; Cypriniformes; Danionidae.